Molecule: long non-coding RNA, 207 nt
Filed under: Ananas comosus (pineapple)
Lineage: Eukaryota; Viridiplantae; Streptophyta; Magnoliopsida; Poales; Bromeliaceae
Description: long non-coding RNA (ACOM_LNC036336)
Source: RNAcentral
GAAACUUUUAGAAAAUAAAUUUCGUAAAUUUUCGAAAUCAUAAUAAAGUCCAUCAAGUGGGCAUAAAAUGAACGGUCAAAAUCGAACGACGUUCUAAAAAAGGAUGAUCGAAUCCUUCAAUUCAAGAUCGAAGUUAUUGAUCUUUAUCUAUGUAGUGAAUAGAAUUUUCUAUAAAAAAUUCAACAAAUUCCGAUUCUUUUACACCAU